GGGAGCUGGUGGAGUGAAGACACACCCCGCCCAGCCUGUGCGUGCUUAGUGUAGAGUCGCGGAGGAGUGGAGAGUAACAAAUUCACCAAGAUAUCACAGAAGUUCUAGUCGUUGAACACAACUAGUGGCCAUGAGGAUGCCAGUUCGACUCCUGGCCUCAUUCGGUGGGUUAAAGAUCCAGCCGUGCAGUGAGCUGUGGUGUAGGUCACCGCACCACACGUGGGAUCACGCGUUGCUGUUGCAGAGGCUGUGCGGUAGACCAGCAGCUGCAGUGCCCAUUUGACCCCUAGCCCAGGAACUUCCAUAUGCCAAUGGUGCAGCCCUAAAAAAAGAAGAAAAAAGAAAAGGUACGACAAUUUUAAAUGUCCACAUGCCUAAUAAAAGAACUUAAAAAUGUAUAAUGCAAAAACCAGUAGAACUAAAAGAAGAAACAGACAAAUCCAUGGUUGUAGUUAAGACUUUAACUCUUGGUAACUGACAAAACAGACAGACAAUAAAUCAGAUUUUUUUAAUUUCCAGGCAUGUAAGAAAAUUUCUGUCCAAUCUUAGCUGAGCACUAAGCUAAGAGAACAGAGACUUCAGUGGCCACACACAACAAAUAGACUUUACAAAAUUAAUUCAGAAAAUUUAUUAAACAACAACUACUACAAGCAGUAACAAUGAACUGUGUGGAGGGAAGAGAAUCUGAUUUCCAGAGAUGUCACAUUAUGGUAUUUGAAAUGUCCAGUUUUCAAAAAUUAUGAGGCAUCCCAAAAAAUAAGAAAGUAUGGCCCAGGAGUUCCAGUCAUGGCUCAGUGGAAAUGAAUCUGACUACUAUCCAUGAGGAUGUGGGUUUGAUCCCUGGCCUUGCUCAGUGGGUUAAGGAUCCAGCAUUGCCAUGAACUGUGGUGUAGAUUGCAGAUGAAGAUCAGAUCUGGCGUUGCUGUGGCUGUGGUGCAGGCCAGCAGCUACAGCUCCAAUUGGACUCCUAGCCUGGGAACAUCCAUAUGCCGCAGGUGUGGACCAUAAAAGACAAAAAAAAAAAAAAAAAAAAAAAA
Molecule: long non-coding RNA, 1037 nt
Filed under: Sus scrofa (pig)
Lineage: Eukaryota; Metazoa; Chordata; Mammalia; Artiodactyla; Suidae
Description: lncRNA (ENSSSCG00045027867.1)
Source: RNAcentral